RNAcentral lists this ribosomal RNA (2900 nucleotides) under Klebsiella pneumoniae. Its description in RNAcentral is "23S ribosomal RNA". It matches the Rfam family "Bacterial large subunit ribosomal RNA". Lineage: Bacteria; Pseudomonadati; Pseudomonadota; Gammaproteobacteria; Enterobacterales; Enterobacteriaceae. The record is from RNAcentral.
GGUUAAGCGACUAAGCGUACACGGUGGAUGCCCUGGCAGUCAGAGGCGAUGAAGGACGUGCUAAUCUGCGAAAAGCGUCGGUAAGGUGAUAUGAACCGUUAUAACCGGCGAUGUCCGAAUGGGGAAACCCAGUGCAAUUCGUUGCACUAUCGUUAACUGAAUACAUAGGUUAACGAGGCGAACCGGGGGAACUGAAACAUCUAAGUACCCCGAGGAAAAGAAAUCAACCGAGAUUCCCCCAGUAGCGGCGAGCGAACGGGGAGCAGCCCAGAGUCUGAAUCAGCUUGUGUGUUAGUGGAACGGUCUGGAAAGUCCGACGGUACAGGGUGAUAGUCCCGUACACCAAAAUGCACAGGUUGUGAACUCGAAGAGUAGGGCGGGACACGUGGUAUCCUGUCUGAAUAUGGGGGGACCAUCCUCCAAGGCUAAAUACUCCUGACUGACCGAUAGUGAACCAGUACCGUGAGGGAAAGGCGAAAAGAACCCCGGCGAGGGGAGUGAAAAAGAACCUGAAACCGUGUACGUACAAGCAGUGGGAGCACCUUCGGGUGUGACUGCGUACCUUUUGUAUAAUGGGUCAGCGACUUAUAUUCUGUAGCAAGGUUAACCGUAUAGGGGAGCCGCAGGGAAACCGAGUCUUAACUGGGCGUUAAGUUGCAGGGUAUAGACCCGAAACCCGGUGAUCUAGCCAUGGGCAGGUUGAAGGUUGGGUAACACUAACUGGAGGACCGAACCGACUAAUGUUGAAAAAUUAGCGGAUGACUUGUGGCUGGGGGUGAAAGGCCAAUCAAACCGGGAGAUAGCUGGUUCUCCCCGAAAGCUAUUUAGGUAGCGCCUCGUGAACUCAUCUUCGGGGGUAGAGCACUGUUUCGGCUAGGGGUCAUCCCGACUUACCAACCCGAUGCAAACUACGAAUACCGAAGAAUGUUAUCACGGGAGACACACGGCGGGUGCUAACGUCCGUCGUGAAGAGGGAAACAACCCAGACCGCCAGCUAAGGUCCCAAAGUCAUGGUUAAGUGGGAAACGAUGUGGGAAGGCACAGACAGCCAGGAUGUUGGCUUAGAAGCAGCCAUCAUUUAAAGAAAGCGUAAUAGCUCACUGGUCGAGUCGGCCUGCGCGGAAGAUGUAACGGGGCUAAACCAUGCACCGAAGCUGCGGCAGCGACACUAUGUGUUGUUGGGUAGGGGAGCGUUCUGUAAGCCUGCGAAGGUGUGCUGUGAGGCAUGCUGGAGGUAUCAGAAGUGCGAAUGCUGACAUAAGUAACGAUAAAGCGGGUGAAAAGCCCGCUCGCCGGAAGACCAAGGGUUCCUGUCCAACGUUAAUCGGGGCAGGGUGAGUCGACCCCUAAGGCGAGGCCGAAAGGCGUAGUCGAUGGGAAACAGGUUAAUAUUCCUGUACUUGGUGUUACUGCGAAGGGGGGACGGAGAAGGCUAUGUUAGCCGGGCGACGGUUGUCCCGGUUUAAGCAUGUAGGCUGGUUAUCCAGGCAAAUCCGGAUAAUCAAGGCUGAGGUGUGAUGACGAGGCACUACGGUGCUGAAGUAACAAAUGCCCUGCUUCCAGGAAAAGCCUCUAAGCAUCAGGUAACAUCAAAUCGUACCCCAAACCGACACAGGUGGUCAGGUAGAGAAUACCAAGGCGCUUGAGAGAACUCGGGUGAAGGAACUAGGCAAAAUGGUGCCGUAACUUCGGGAGAAGGCACGCUGGUGUGUAGGUGAAGUCCCUGCGGAUGGAGCUGAGACCAGUCGAAGAUACCAGCUGGCUGCAACUGUUUAUUAAAAACACAGCACUGUGCAAACACGAAAGUGGACGUAUACGGUGUGACGCCUGCCCGGUGCCGGAAGGUUAAUUGAUGGGGUUAUCCGUAAGGAGAAGCUCUUGAUCGAAGCCCCGGUAAACGGCGGCCGUAACUAUAACGGUCCUAAGGUAGCGAAAUUCCUUGUCGGGUAAGUUCCGACCUGCACGAAUGGCGUAAUGAUGGCCAGGCUGUCUCCACCCGAGACUCAGUGAAAUUGAACUCGCUGUGAAGAUGCAGUGUACCCGCGGCAAGACGGAAAGACCCCGUGAACCUUUACUAUAGCUUGACACUGAACAUUGAGCCUUGAUGUGUAGGAUAGGUGGGAGGCUUUGAAGCGUGGACGCCAGUCUGCGUGGAGCCAACCUUGAAAUACCACCCUUUAAUGUUUGAUGUUCUAACGUUGGCCCCUGACCGGGGUUGCGGACAGUGUCUGGUGGGUAGUUUGACUGGGGCGGUCUCCUCCCAAAGCGUAACGGAGGAGCACGAAGGUUAGCUAAUCCUGGUCGGACAUCAGGAGGUUAGUGCAAUGGCAUAAGCUAGCUUGACUGCGAGCGUGACGGCGCGAGCAGGUGCGAAAGCAGGUCAUAGUGAUCCGGUGGUUCUGAAUGGAAGGGCCAUCGCUCAACGGAUAAAAGGUACUCCGGGGAUAACAGGCUGAUACCGCCCAAGAGUUCAUAUCGACGGCGGUGUUUGGCACCUCGAUGUCGGCUCAUCACAUCCUGGGGCUGAAGUAGGUCCCAAGGGUAUGGCUGUUCGCCAUUUAAAGUGGUACGCGAGCUGGGUUUAGAACGUCGUGAGACAGUUCGGUCCCUAUCUGCCGUGGGCGCUGGAGAAUUGAGGGGGCUGCUCCUAGUACGAGAGGACCGGAGUGGACGCAUCACUGGUGUUCGGGUUGUCAUGCCAAUGGCACUGCCCGGUAGCUAAAUGCGGAAGAGAUAAGUGCUGAAAGCAUCUAAGCACGAAACUUGCCCCGAGAUGAGUUCUCCCUGAGACUAUAAGUCUCCUGAAGGAACGUUAAAGACGAUGACGUUGAUAGGCCGGGUGUGUAAGCGCAGCGAUGCGUUGAGCUAACCGGUACUAAUGAACCGUGAGGCUUAACCUU